RNAcentral lists this long non-coding RNA (400 nucleotides) under Lathyrus oleraceus (garden pea). RNAcentral's name for it is "Pisum sativum (pea) long non-coding RNA (PSAT_LNC024297)". The record is from RNAcentral. Lineage: Eukaryota; Viridiplantae; Streptophyta; Magnoliopsida; Fabales; Fabaceae.
UUGGAUGAAUAAGAUUCUUGAGUACCAAAGACGGGUAUAACUCUGCAUACGUCAUACGAAUAGGGUCAAAAGUGACCUUUUUCCUCUCAAAAUGUUGCUGAUGAUGAUUGUUAUUGUUGUUGUAGUUGAUUGUUUGUUGCAGUUGUUGCUGAUGUUAUUGUUGAAUUUGAACUGAUUGAUUAGUUAAAUUGUUGGAAAAAAACUGGAAUUACUGAUGAUACUUGGUAUUGAUGUUGACGAGAUUGAGAACUUUUCCUCACAUGAGGCCUCCUCUUCCUCCCAGCUGACACUGCAUUAGUCUUUCCUUCCUUCUUCUUAGGGAAACUCCCACCAUACUUCUUGUUGCUUGACGCUUCAUCUUUGGACAGACGUCCUUCAUGGACUCCUUCCUCUAAUUUCA